UACGAAGGGUGCAAGCGUUACUCGGAAUUACUGGGCGUAAAGCGUGCGUAGACGGUUGCGUAAGUCAGAUGUGAAAGCCCCGGGCUCAACCUGGGAAUUGCAUUUGAGACUGCGUAGCUAGGGUGCGGAAGAGGGAAGCGGAAUUUCCGGUGUAGCGGUGAAAUGCGUAGAUAUCGGAAGGAACACCAGUGGCGAAAGCGGCGUGCUGGAUCUCUUCUGACGCUGAGGCGCGAAAGCCAGGGGAGCAAACGGG
RNAcentral lists this ribosomal RNA (253 nucleotides) under uncultured bacterium. RNAcentral describes it as "partial 16S ribosomal RNA". It matches the Rfam family "Bacterial small subunit ribosomal RNA", at positions 524 to 776 of the family's 1533-position model. The record is from RNAcentral.